CAGCGCCUUCUCCAGGGUUUAGAGCGGAGGUGAAGGGGCCUCGUCCUGCACCGCCACUGGGCGCCUGGGCUGUUCAUCAUCGGUUACCGCCGAUUCAUAGGAACUCCUCAACACAUUGGCUCGGAAAUGUACAGUCAUAGGCAAUUUAUAAAACUGACAAAAAUUAUUCCGCUAAUGCCAGGAAUAACGGAGGAUAUUCAGAAAGAAAAACAGGAAUAUUUUCUUGUGUAAAUAAUAGAUAAAGAAUAAAAAAGUAAAUGAGCGUAAUCCAGCAGCAAUCCCCUUAGGGAGUAAUAAAACCCGAAAAGUCCAAUUUGCGCAGCAAGAUCCAUUAGGCAGGAAGUGAGGAAGCCAGACGCUGUCCUGCGGCCCUGAAGCGGGGAACUCACUGUGGGAGUUUGAUGCCUCAAAUCAGGAGCUGCGGAAGGAAGAAAUUUCAACGUUUCGUUAUUAUGCUUCAGUUCAGUGUGAGCAGGCUUUGUAUCCCAGUCUCUGAUCCCAAACAGAUAUCAGGAAAGGAUCAAAGCUAAAAAUAAAUGAAUGCCUGGGAAGUGCCAGAAGCAGGCAAUGCCACAUCUUUCUCAAGCUCCACAAUCACAAAGACAAGCCCUUGCAUUCUGACUGCCUAUCUGCAAGAGGACAAUGGAAAAUUAUAAAUAUAAAGUUACAUUUAAAACUAUCAGCACUGAAGAAAGGCGCACCAGGAUGUCCACUUCUCUGAGAUGGAGCUGCCGCAUUCCUCGCCGGGGUGC
This 752-nucleotide long non-coding RNA is filed under the name Homo sapiens (human). RNAcentral's name for it is "non-protein coding lnc-ACP1-6:1". Lineage: Eukaryota; Metazoa; Chordata; Mammalia; Primates; Hominidae. The record is from RNAcentral.